CCCGGCCCGCCCCCGGCUCGACUCGCGGGAGGCGCUAGGCGCCGGGGCUGGCGCGCUCUCCCAGGCGCACACACACAUCCACGCACGCACGCCCAGAGCAGCUCUCUCCGCGCUUGGCCCCCGUUCUCUUCGCCCAUGCAGACGGACAGAGCGACGGAAGAUGGCUGACGACUCCACGGGGCACCGAGGAUGCAGCCCGGCGGCGGCGGCGGCGGCGGGAGCGGCAGAAGCAGCGGCGGCGGCAGGGGCAGCGGCGGCAGCGGCGGCGUUGGUGGCGGCGGCGGCGGCGGCAGCGGGAGCAGGAGCGGCGGCGGCGGCAUCCCCGAGACUCCUUGAGCUACCUUUCCCUCUGACAGCCACUGACGUUCUCCGCCGCUAGAAGAGACCCCGCUUCUCCGGCGCCUGCCUUCCCUCCCCCCUCCCAGCCCCAGCCCCAGCCCCGCCAGCACCGCUACCUCCGCCAGCAUUGCCACCAUCAGCAGCACCUCCACCACCACCACCACCACUACCACCACCACCGCCGGCGGCGGCAGCAGCCAUUUCAUCUCCACAGAAACCAGACACAAAAACAUGGCAGAAAUGGAGAAAGAAGGGAGACCUCCGGAAAAUAAAAGGAGCAGGAAACCGGCUCACCCAGUGAAAAGGGAGAUCAAUGAGGAAAUGAAGAACUUUGCAGAAAACACCAUGAAUGAACUCCUUGGCUGGUAUGGCUAUGAUAAGGUUGAAUUGAAAGAUGGUGAAGAUAUUGAAUUCAGGAGCUACCCUACAGAUGGAGAGAGCCGGCAGCACAUUUCUGUUCUCAAAGAAAAUUCUUUGCCAAAACCAAAAUUACCUGAGGACAGUGUUAUUUCACCAUACAAUAUAAGCACAGGCUAUUCAGGGCUUGCCACAGGAAAUGGACUCAGUGACUCACCUGCAGGGUCAAAGGAUCAUGGCAAUGUGCCCAUUAUUGUACCUUUAAUUCCGCCACCUUUCAUAAAGCCACCAGCAGAAGAUGAUGUGUCAAAUGUACAAAUAAUGUGUGCCUGGUGCCAGAAAGUGGGAAUCAAGCGCUAUUCCCUGAGUAUGGGAAGUGAGGUGAAAAGCUUCUGCAGCGAGAAGUGCUUUGCGGCCUGCCGACGAGCCUACUUCAAGAGGAAUAAGGCUAGAGAUGAAGAUGGACAUGCUGAAAAUUUCCCCCAGCAGCACUAUGCUAAGGAAACUCCAAGGCUUGCCUUCAAGAAUAACUGCGAACUACUUGUAUGUGACUGGUGUAAACACAUAAGACACACAAAAGAAUACCUGGAUUUUGGGGACGGGGAAAGAAGGCUUCAGUUCUGCAGUGCAAAAUGUCUCAAUCAAUACAAAAUGGACAUUUUCUACAAAGAGACCCAGGCCAAUCUUCCAGCUGGGCUGUGCAGCACAUUACACCCUCCCAUGGAAAAUAAAGCAGAAGGCACCGGGGUGCAGCUGCUCACUCCAGACUCUUGGAAUAUUCCUCUAACAGAUGCUCGGAGGAAAGCCCCCUCCCCGGUGGCUGCAGCUGGCCAAAGCCAGGGCCCUGGCCCAUCGGCGUCCACCACCGUCUCUCCAUCUGACACUGCCAACUGCUCUGUCGCUAAAAUCCCCACGCCAGUGCCCAAGUCCAUGCCGAUCAGCGAGACUCCAAACAUCCCUCCUGUCUCCGUCCAGCCACCUGCUAGCAUCGGGCCUCCCCUCGGAGUGCCGCCUCGCAGCCCUCCCAUGGUGAUGACCAACCGCGGCCCGGUGCCGCUGCCCAUCUUCAUGGAACAACAGAUCAUGCAGCAGAUCCGCCCGCCCUUCAUUCGCGGGCCGCCACACCACGCCUCCAACCCCAACAGCCCUCUGUCCAACCCCAUGCUCCCGGGCAUCGGGCCCCCUCCGGGCGGCCCCAGAAACCUGGGCCCCACUUCCAGUCCCAUGCACCGGCCCAUGCUCUCGCCCCAUAUCCACCCCCCGAGCACCCCGACCAUGCCUGGUAACCCCCCGGGCCUGCUGCCCCCUCCGCCCCCGGGCGCGCCCUUGCCGAGUCUCCCCUUCCCGCCCGUGAGCAUGAUGCCAAAUGGCCCGAUGCCCGUGCCCCAGAUGAUGAAUUUCGGGCUGCCGUCGCUCGCCCCGCUGGUGCCGCCCCCCACCUUGCUCGUGCCAUACCCGGUGAUCGUGCCCCUGCCCGUGCCCAUCCCCAUCCCUAUUCCCAUCCCUCACGUCAAUGAUUCCAAGCCCCCCAACGGAUUUUCCAGCAACGGGGAGAACUUCAUUCCGAGCGCCCCCGGCGACUCCUCGGCGGCAGGAGGUAAGCCAGGCGGACACUCCCUGUCCCCCCGGGACUCCAAGCAGGGCUCGUCCAAGUCCGCGGACUCGCCGCCCGGCUGCUCGGGCCAGGCCCUGAGCCUGGCGCCCGCGCCCGCGGAGCACGGCCGGAGCGAGGUGGUGGACCUGACGCGGCGCGCCGGCAGCCCCCCGGGCGCGGGCGGCCAGCUCGGCUUCCCCGGCGUGCUGCAGGGCCCGCAGGACGGCGUCAUCGACCUGACCGUGGGCCACCGGGCCCGGCUGCACAACGUGAUCCACCGCGCGCUGCACGCGCACGUCAAGGCGGAGCGCGAGCCGGGCGCCGCGGAGCGCAGGACCUGCGGCGGCUGCAGGGACGGCCACUGCAGCCCGCCCGCCGCCGGCGACCCGGGUCCGGGCGCCCCGCGGGCCCCGAGGCCGCCGCGGCCUGCAACGUCAUCGUGAACGGCACGCGCGGCGCCGCCGCCGAGGGCGCCAAGGGCGCGGAGCCGCCGCCCGAGCAGCCCCCGCCGCCGCCGCCGCCGCCGCCCGCGCCCCCAAGAAGCUGCUGUCGCACGAGGAGCCCGCGGUGAGCGAGCUGGAGUCCGUCAAGGAGAACAACUGUGCUUCCAACUGCCACCUGGACGGGGAGGCGGCCAAAAAGCUGAUGGGGGAGGAGGCCCUGGCGGGGGGCGACAAGUCAGACCCGAACCUUAAUAACCCCGCGGACGAGGACCACGCGUAUGCUCUGCGCAUGCUGCCCAAGACGGGCUGCGUGAUCCAGCCUGUGCCAAAACCGGCGGAGAAGACUGCCAUGGCGCCGUGCAUCAUCUCCUCGCCCAUGCUGAGCGCCGGGCCCGAGGACCUGGAGCCUCCGCUCAAAAGGAGGUGCCUCCGAAUUAGAAAUCAGAAUAAGUAAAAGGAACGCUCACUCACAGGGUACCUUGCAUGGAGAGAGGGCGCAGAGCAAACCAUGUCACACCAUCCAAUGACACCAGCUGGUCAGCUCACCACCCCCUCUGGCUAAAACUCAAGCAAAUAAAGCCGCUUCCUGUCAUUAAGCAUCUCAGAGGAAGCAGCCCUCCCUCCGUGGCCUCUAGCCCAGAGAAGCCAGCACGUCUUGGACCCACCAAGCGGGCCCAGCCUUCCUGCUGCCACCAUCUCUGCUUCUCCCAGAGGAACUUAGGGAUUUCGCCCCUGGUUUUAAAAAAACAAAACACCAACAAGCCACAAGGACCAAUGUAGGUAUUCUCCCCGCUCCAUCUUCCAGGCUCAGAGGGUGAGGCUGGAAGAUGAUAUGGAUUUGAAAACAAAAAUCUUUUUUUAAUCUUUUUAAAAACUGCUGUGGUUUUGCUGCUACACUAAGAAUUGUGAUUUGCAUUGUACGGUUUUGGACCUAUACUGUCCACGUUUUGACGGCGGAGAGGGAUCAUACUGGAGUCCCAACGCUUCAGAUUCAUCUCUGUCCUGCCCAGGAUGCACUUUUAAAUGAAGAGUUAGAAUAUUUUAUUGGCUAAUAUACUUUUCUUGUUAUUUUUACAAAGGCCACCUUUAUCCUUUUUAAUGCCAUAUUUUCAGUGUUACACUUUUAUGGCUUUUAAUUUUCGAUUUGACAGAUGUAAGAAGCAGCAUGAAUAGUUUAUACUGUGGUUUUUCAGAGACUGAAUGCCAAGAGAACUCGGUAAAUGUUUAUUCUUCUCAGCUUUCUCUUUAAAUUCCCCUAAAUAGCGCCCCAUUUGGGAACAGAGCAAGAGUGUUGAACUGAAGACCAAAAUGCCCUCUAGGUGUAAAAUAAUCCGAGAGGGAAUAUUUGCUGGGCGUCACGAAAGACUUGGAUGAAAUUUCAACCCUGAUGGUUUUCGGUGAUCCAGGAAGUCAGUGAAGCAAUCUCUCUAUACGCAGAGCCCUUUCAUGAUAAUUAGAAUGGUAUGGACAAACCAAUGAAAACAAGAGGGAAAGUGAGAAAGAUCACCCAUGAUUCUGUUUCACUGUUUGCUUUCUCCUGUCAUGGUUAAGAGAAAUGUGCAAUUGGAUCCUCAAUCAGUGGGUGGAGGAUAACAGGGUAGAUUUUCUUGUGUGCACUUGUACAGUUGUAGCUGCGAGUCCAGAAGUCCUCUAGAGCAUGUGUACUGGCACUGAGUCGGUGAGACAGUCGUGGAGUAUCCCAUUCUGAUGAGUACAGAAAAAAAAAAAAAAAGAGAAAAAAUAAGAAAAAAAUCCAAAAAAAGAAGAAAACUAAAAAAAAAAAAAAUCAAAUCACCUUGUGAUUCAGUGUAUCUGUUUACUAACUCAAAUAAAGCAAUUGUUCCCUCUGGAGGGGUCCAGGUGCCCCCUGCCCACAGGGCCGCUGAGCCGGCAGCAGGAGGGGUGGUGGGCAGCGGCGGGUGAGGCUGGGACGGUGUCGCGCCGGCCUUAGAGCCCCCGGGGCCGUGGAUGCGGUGUACAUACUGUAUUUCUAUAUUCUCCUUUGUACAGAGUCACUUAACAAGUCAAGCUACUGUUUUACAGGUGCUCCUUAUUUAUUAGAGCUGUGAGAGCUUGGGGGACACACCUGGCGAGCGAGCUCGCUUUUUAAAAAUGAAAUUGGGGGGCAGGGGAAGGGAGGGGAGGGAGGGGAAGCUCGCAAGCCCGGGGAGAGAUUUAUAAACGUAAACAAAAGGAAAACUUCCGGCAACAAAUUCCACCAACCAACCAACCCACCCCAACACCGAGUCCCCGCGCAGGAAGCUGCACCCCUCCUCCGGGUGCUCAUUUCCAUGCUGGGCUCCCCCACAUUCUCCUCUCUCCCUGACCGGUGUCAGAUUCAUCAAACGAAAAUAAAUCUCUAAGAAAAAAAAA
Non-coding RNA from Equus caballus (horse), 5106 nucleotides. The record is from RefSeq and is a predicted model, not a curated record. NCBI's taxonomy places the organism in Eukaryota, Metazoa, Chordata, Mammalia, Perissodactyla, Equidae.